Molecule: ribosomal RNA, 404 nt
Filed under: Verrucomicrobiota bacterium
Lineage: Bacteria; Pseudomonadati; Verrucomicrobiota
Description: Verrucomicrobia bacterium partial 16S ribosomal RNA
Rfam family: Bacterial small subunit ribosomal RNA
Source: RNAcentral
UGGGGAAUAUUGCACAAUGGGGGCAACCCUGACGCAGCAACGCCGCGUGCGGGACGACGGCCUUCGGGUUGUAAACCGCUUUCAGCAGGGAAGAUAGUGACGGUACCUGAAUAAGAAGCCCCGGCUAACUACGUGCCAGCAGCCGCGGUAAUACGUAGGGGGCAAGCGUUAUCCGGAUUUACUGGGUGUAAAGGGAGCGCAGACGGCUGUGCAAGUCUGAAGUGAAAGCCCGCGGCUCAACUGCGGGAUUGCUUUGGAAACUGUGCGGCUUGAGUAUCGGAGAGGUAAGCGGAAUUCCAAGUGUAGCGGUGAAAUGCGUAGAUAUUUGGAGGAACACCGGUGGCGAAGGCGGCUUACUGGACGAAAACUGACGUUGAGGCUCGAAGGCGUGGGGAGCAAACAGG